This 253-nucleotide ribosomal RNA is filed under the name uncultured bacterium. RNAcentral describes it as "partial 16S ribosomal RNA". It matches the Rfam family "Bacterial small subunit ribosomal RNA", at positions 524 to 776 of the family's 1533-position model. The record is from RNAcentral.
GACGAACCGUGCGAACGUUGUUCGGAAUCACUGGGCUUAAAGGGCGCGUAGGCGGGCUUCCAAGUCUGGGGUGAAAUCCUCCGGCUCAACCGGAGAACGGCCUCGGAGACUGGAGGGCUCGAGUGAGGGAGGGGCGUGCGGAACUCAGGGUGGAGCGGUGAAAUUCGUUGAUAUCCUGAGGAACUCCGGUGGCGAAGGCGGCACGCUGGACCUCUUCUGACGCUGAGGCGCGAAAGCCAGGGGAGCAAACGGG